Molecule: ribosomal RNA, 387 nt
Filed under: uncultured eukaryote
Lineage: Eukaryota
Description: partial 18S ribosomal RNA
Rfam family: Eukaryotic small subunit ribosomal RNA
Source: RNAcentral
CGAUAGCGUAUAUUAAAGUUGUUGCAGUUAAAAAGCUCGUAGUUGGAUUUCUGAUCGAGACAUCAGGUCGGGUCCGAGAGGAUCAUGUACUUUGAUUUGUUUUGAUCAUCCUUGGGGAGAGCAUUUCUGGCAUUCAGUUGUCGGGAUUGGGAUCCUCAUCGUUUACUGUGAAAAAAUUAGAGUGUUCAAAGCAGGCCUCGGCCUCUGAAUACAUUAGCAUGGAAUAAUAAGAUAGGACUUUGGUGGUCUAUUUUGUUGGUUUGCACGCCAAAGUAAUGAUUAAUAGGGAUAGUUGGGGGUAUUCGUAUUCAAUUGUCAGAGGUGAAAUUCUUGGAUUUAUGGAAGACGAACUACUGCGAAAGCAUUUACCAAGGAUGUUUUCAUUAA